CUACGGGGCGCAGCAGUUAAGAAUAAUCUACAAUGCGCGAAAGCGUGAUAGUUUGAGUCAGAGUGUGUUUCUAUUUGAAACACUUUUGCCAAAUGUAAAAAGUUUGGCGAAUAAGGACUGGGUAAGACGAGUGCCAGCCGCCGCGGCAAUACUCGCGGUCCAAGUCGCAGCCAUAUUUAUUGGGUCUAAAACAUCCGUAGCUUGCUUUGCAAGUUCCUUGUGAAAUUUUAUCUCUUAAAGAUAAAGCGUGCGGGGAGUACUACAAAGCUAGAGACUGGAAGACGUAACGAGUACGUUCAAAGUAGCGGUAAAAUGUGUUAAUCUUGAACGGACUAACAAUAGCGAAGGCACGUUACGAGGACAGUUCUGACAGUAAGGGAUGAAAGCUAGGGGCGCAAAACGGAUUAGAUACCCUCGUAGUC
Molecule: ribosomal RNA, 422 nt
Filed under: uncultured archaeon
Lineage: Archaea
Description: partial 16S ribosomal RNA
Rfam family: Archaeal small subunit ribosomal RNA
Source: RNAcentral